Long non-coding RNA from Cynoglossus semilaevis (tongue sole), 505 nucleotides. RefSeq lists it as uncharacterized. NCBI's taxonomy places the organism in Eukaryota, Metazoa, Chordata, Actinopteri, Pleuronectiformes, Cynoglossidae. The transcript is spliced from 4 exons. The record is from RefSeq and is a predicted model, not a curated record.
GUGAUGAGCACAAUCAGCACGACGAUGAGGCCGACCACUAUCCCCAGGAGGACAUAAGCCAGAGGAUCCUUGUUAGUCUCAACUUCAGUAGUUCCUCCCUGAUACCAACGAUAAAGAAGUCUGACUGUAUACAGUUUCACUUCAAGUCACUCACCUCCAGCACUGUGCUACGGGAGAGGCUGCCAGUGUCGGUCGCUGCUACUGUGACCAAGUAUUUCCCUCUCAGUGAAAUGUCGAGGCCUUCGGUAGAUCUGUGGAUGGUUGAAGUACGUGAGCCUAGUUGCCGUAUCUGGUUUAGACGAUAGGAAGUCAGGCAACGGAAGGUUGCGAGAAACAUAAUUUCUACAACAAACGAAGAAUUAGUUUGCCUUUUUACAGUGAUUCCUGAGGAAAGUUUGAAAGGUCUUCAACUGAACUUCAAGGUCAGAUGUCAAGGUUUUAAUGAGUUUAAAAAAUUGUGAUCUCUACACAUUUGUACACAGAACUCACCACCGCAGAGUUUUCU